Small nucleolar RNA from Salvia splendens (bonfire salvia), 98 nucleotides. RefSeq annotates it as small nucleolar RNA snoR113. The record is from RefSeq and is a predicted model, not a curated record. Lineage: Eukaryota; Viridiplantae; Streptophyta; Magnoliopsida; Lamiales; Lamiaceae. The transcript has a single exon.
CGGCAGUGAUGAAAAAAAGGCCGGACUCACAGCUGCUACUUUUUACUAGUUGGUAGUAGGUUGAUGAAGCUAUGUCUGAGGUAUUACUUCUGAGCCAA